CGACAACCAACGUAGUGCGAGCAGCAUGCAGCAAAGCAAUGGCCGGGCGACACUGUGACAAGCAGGGGCAAGGACAGGGCGCGGCACGGCAGGAAAGGGGGCCCGUAAGUACACGCCAACACGCAAACAAGGGGGCUGAAGUACACGCCAACAACAAGACCGGAGGUGAGGAUGUGAAGCUGAUAAUAGAUUAAUAGGAAUGCGUGGCUGAAUGUUCGGUGGGGAUAGCCUAUGCGCGCGUCCUAGUCAGAGGUUUCGCGUAGGGUUUGCUGAGAGUUAGCGGCUGCACUGAUUAGGAAUUGUAGUGACCGGAAGAGGAGCACGGAAGGAAAGCUGGUCGCAUUCCUCACGCUCCGGGCGCUAAUGUAGACGGCAAGGUGACAUCGGCCUACUCUCCAACAGCCUGCUGUCUUUGGUGCGCUGGGGUGCCCAAGAUGCCCACGCCUGCCCACGCUGACGCAUACCCCUUCCCACUAGUCCGACUGGAGUAGCCUGUGUCCGCUUUCAUCUGCCCUGAAGCUUGGAAUCCACCAGCUGAAAUGAUUGCACGCCGUAGCGCCUAGUUGAUUGCUGUGCCUCUGCAUCCCUCGGCUGCGCCGAGCUCCGCUUGUUCUGCUUGCCCCAAUGCGGGUUGAAAUAGGAGCAUGAGCCGCAUUUCGCUUGGUGACCUGAAUUGUUCACGUCUGUGCGGUUGAGCCGCUGGAGCAAAGCUGUAUCCGGGGCAUGUGUGUGUUGAGGCCGUCACGUUACAGAGCCCUCCACGGAUGCGACACGCCCCCACGGUACUAGCCCGCAUACGAGCCUGCUCGACUUCCGCGGAAUCUCGCGGAAUCUCGCGACCUGAAGCAUGAGCACGGUGUACCACACCCGCGCUUGACGCCUUGCGCCUGUUCCUCUUGAUGUCCAUCCUUGCACCCCUCAGGUCCUUCAUGCGCCCAACAAUCUGACUCGCUGUAGCCGGCUCGAGCAUGACGCGCAUGCUGUCAGUGCACUGCCAGAAGCGCUACACCAGAACGAGUGCC
Molecule: long non-coding RNA, 1022 nt
Filed under: Chlamydomonas reinhardtii
Lineage: Eukaryota; Viridiplantae; Chlorophyta; Chlorophyceae; Chlamydomonadales; Chlamydomonadaceae
Description: long non-coding RNA (CREI_LNC000328)
Source: RNAcentral